AUCACCUGGGGACCUUGUUAAAAUGCAGAUUCUGAUUCAUUUAAGUCUGGCGUGGGACCUGAGAGUCUGCAUUUUUAACAAGCAGCCUUGGUGAUGCCCA
Molecule: microRNA precursor, 100 nt
Filed under: Sus scrofa (pig)
Lineage: Eukaryota; Metazoa; Chordata; Mammalia; Artiodactyla; Suidae
Description: mir-544 microRNA precursor family
Rfam family: mir-544 microRNA precursor family
Source: Rfam by way of RNAcentral